Long non-coding RNA from Salvia miltiorrhiza (redroot sage), 1045 nucleotides. RefSeq lists it as uncharacterized. Lineage: Eukaryota; Viridiplantae; Streptophyta; Magnoliopsida; Lamiales; Lamiaceae. The transcript is spliced from 3 exons. The record is from RefSeq and is a predicted model, not a curated record.
AUCAAGCAUAUGUCUCUCCGUUCUUCUUCUCGUCUCUCUCCCUCUUCUCACUCACCGGUUCUCGCUCUCUAAAAGAAAAUUCGGGAUAUCUGUCUUUCCUACUUGCUCUCGCCACCUCCCCUCGCUUCCUGAGAUCCGGCGACUCACCACGACCACCCUCAUCUCACUAUCCAAUUUCUCUCUCACACAACCCCACACUCCUUGAUCUCUCUCACUUAUCUCGGUUGUCCGGCGAGAAAUCACCGUCACCGCCGCUGGCCUAAUCCUCCGGUCGCGUGUGGGCACGCCCCGCCCCGGAGCCGCCGUCCUAGCGCUGCAAGCAGCAGUGCGCGACUGCGCCGCGCCUAGCCUUCCCCGUCGCCCCGCCCCGCCUUCUUCAGCCUAGGCGCCUCCGUCCGCCAACUCCGCAGUAGCAGCAGUUUCCAAUGCCCGAUUUCCGGUAUUUCAGCUCUGCAGAAAAUGUUAGCGCUCGAGAAAUUUGUAGCUUCUAAUGGGAGAGUCGUCUGGGGUUGGUUGUUCCUUAUCGUUGGAGCUUUCUGUUUUAUGAGUUUCCUCUAUGCUGCCGUCAUAUCUAAGCUUCAGCCUCCAUCUCAUAAUGUUCUCAUCAGUGCCAUCCAAAAUGACUGGUAUUAUUGCUUCUUGGUGCCCAUGACAUUUCCAAUCCUUUUUGUUGCGGUGUAUUUUCAUUGGCUGAGCAUGAAAUUGUUCAAGCACGCCUGAGUAAGACCAGCUGGCAUUUUCAUGUCCUUCAUCAGUCAUCACCAUGAAAUGUCAUGUGAUGACACCAUGUUUCUCCAUGGAUAUCGAGCUCCUAUGGUACAAGCAGCACCUUCAAGGGCGAUUCUGAAGAUUGAAACUAGCAUUGGCUGCGUGUAUUCAACGAUAGGUAUCAUACUUCGUACUUUAGCUGCAUCAAGCAUGGAAAUGCAAAUGCUCCAAAUUGUCUUACUUGAUUGUUUGUGUUUCUUUCCUUGGAACCUUUAUUGUUAAUAGUUGUUUCAUCGUAUAAAUAUUUUACUACUAUUAAAGAGCUUAUUUUUACAAA